UACGGGGGGGGCAAGCGUUGUUCGGAAUUACUGGGCGUAAAGGGCUCGUGGGCGGCCAACUAAGUCGGAUGUGAAAUCCCCAAGCUUAACUUGGGAACUGCAUCCGAUACUGGAUGGCUUGAAUCCGGGAGAGGGAUGCAGAAUUCCAGGUGUAGCGGUGAAAUGCGUAGAUAUCUGGAGGAAUACCGGUGGCGAAGGCGGCAUCCUGGACCGGCAUUGACGCUGAGGAGCGAAAGCUAGGGGAGCAAACGGG
This 253-nucleotide ribosomal RNA is filed under the name uncultured bacterium. RNAcentral's name for it is "partial 16S ribosomal RNA". It matches the Rfam family "Bacterial small subunit ribosomal RNA", at positions 524 to 776 of the family's 1533-position model. The record is from RNAcentral.